Molecule: ribosomal RNA, 492 nt
Filed under: uncultured bacterium
Lineage: Bacteria
Description: partial 16S ribosomal RNA
Rfam family: Bacterial small subunit ribosomal RNA
Source: RNAcentral
AGUGAACGCUGGCGGUAGGCCUAACACAUGCAAGUCGAACGGCAGCACAGUAAGAGCUUGCUCUUACGGGUGGCGAGUGGCGGGCGGGUGAGGAAUACAUCGGAAUCUACUUUUUCGUGGGGGAUAACGUAGGGAAACUUACGCUAAUACCGCAUACGACCUACGGGUGAAAGCAGGGGAUCUUCGGACCUUGCGCGAUUGAAUGAGCCGAUGUCGGAUUAGCUAGUUGGCGGGGUAAAGGCCCACCAAGGCGACGAUCCGUAGCUGGUCUGAGAGGAUGAUCAGCCACACUGGAACUGAGACACGGUCCAGACUCCUACGGGAGGCAGCAGUGGGGAAUAUUGGACAAUGGGCGCAAGCCUGAUCCAGCCAUACCACGUGGGUGAAGAAGGCCUUCGGGUUGUAAAGCCCUUUUGUUGGGAAAGAAAAGCAGCAGGUUAAUACCCCGCUGUUCUGACGGUACCCAAAGAAUAAGCACCGGCUAACUUCGUG